GGGAGGAGCAGCCAUCCCCUCGUCUCCAUCAGCUGUAGUCUGAUGCGGGCGUGAGGAAGGAAGGUGCUGUCGGCCGCGUCCUUACGUAAGGGGACAUUAUACAACUUGGGGAGCAACUCUACUCAUCUUCAACAGAGAGAAUGGAGGAGAGCACAGAGAGAUUGGUAGACGCUGCGUCGUCUGCUGCCGAGGAGAUGGCAGAGGAGCCGUUGGUGGGAAUGCUGGAUUUGGUAUUGCUUUCCCUUCUUGCGGGUGUGUCAGUAUACUAUUUCUUCCUCCGCGACACUAACAAAAAAGAUGAAGUCCCAGUUUGAAGAGCUUUACGAUAUCACCAACCUCAUUACCGAUGCGCACAAAUGACAGCAACUUCGUAGCCAAGAUGAAGUCGUCAGGAAGGAACGUUAUUGUUUUUUAUGGAUCACAGACGGGAACAGCAGAAGAAUUUGCAGGUCGUCUCGCGAAGGAUGCCACAA
This is a non-coding RNA of Penaeus vannamei (Pacific white shrimp), 473 nucleotides long. The record is from RefSeq and is a predicted model, not a curated record. NCBI's taxonomy places the organism in Eukaryota, Metazoa, Arthropoda, Malacostraca, Decapoda, Penaeidae.